CCUGAACGCUGGCGGCGUGGCUAAGACAUGCAAGUCGUACGGGUGCAGCAAUGCACCAGUGGCGGACGGGUGAGUAAUGAAUCGCUAAUGUACCCUGGACUCCGGGAUAGCCGGCCGAAAGGCCGGGUAAUACCAGAUGAUGUGGCGACAGGGCAUCCUGUUGACCCCAAAGGAAACCGGUCUGGGCGCAGGCGAUUUCGUAUCAGGUAGUUGGUGCGGGUAACGGCCCACCAAGCCGACGACGCGUAGCUGGUCUGAGAGGACGGCCAGCCACAUUGGGACUGAGAAACGGCCCAGACUCCUACGGGAGGCAGCAGUGGGGAAUCUUGCGCAAUGGCCUAACGGCUGACGCAGCGACGCCGCGUGAGGGAUGAAGCUCUUCGGAGUGUAAACCUCUGUUGCUCGGGACGAAUGGCGCCUUUUGGCGACGUGACGGUACCGAGUGAGGAAGCACCGGCUAACUUCGUGCCAGCCGCCGCCGUAAU
RNAcentral lists this ribosomal RNA (485 nucleotides) under uncultured bacterium. RNAcentral describes it as "bacterial SSU rRNA". It matches the Rfam family "Bacterial small subunit ribosomal RNA", at positions 30 to 524 of the family's 1533-position model. The record is from RNAcentral.